UACGGAGGGUGCGAGCGUUAAUCGGAAUUACUGGGCGUAAAGCGCACGCAGGCGGUUUGUUAAGCUAGAUGUGAAAGCCCCGGGCUCAACCUGGGAUGGUCAUUUAGAACUGGCAGACAAGAGUCUUGGAGAGGGGAGUGGAAUUCCAGGUGUAGCGGUGAAAUGCGUAGAUAUCUGGAGGAACAUCAGUGGCGAAGGCGACUCCCUGGCCAAAGACUGACGCUCAUGUGCGAAAGUGUGGGUAGCGAACGGG
Molecule: ribosomal RNA, 253 nt
Filed under: uncultured bacterium
Lineage: Bacteria
Description: partial 16S ribosomal RNA
Rfam family: Bacterial small subunit ribosomal RNA
Source: RNAcentral